RNAcentral lists this ribosomal RNA (556 nucleotides) under Nocardiopsis nikkonensis. RNAcentral's name for it is "bacterial SSU rRNA". It matches the Rfam family "Bacterial small subunit ribosomal RNA", at positions 89 to 645 of the family's 1533-position model. The record is from RNAcentral. Lineage: Bacteria; Bacillati; Actinomycetota; Actinomycetes; Streptosporangiales; Nocardiopsidaceae.
ACACGAGCGGCGAACGGGUGAGUAACACGUGAGCAACCUGCCCCUGACUCCGGGAUAAGCGGUGGAAACGCCGUCUAAUACCGGAUACGACCACCGGGUGCCUGCCCGGUGGUGGAAAGUUGUGUCGGUCAGGGAUGGGCUCGCGGCCUAUCAGCUGGUUGGUGGGGUAACGGCCUACCAAGGCGAUUACGGGUAGCCGGCCUGAGAGGGCGACCGGCCACACUGGGACUGAGACACGGCCCAGACUCCUGCGGGAGGCAGCAGUGGGGAAUAUUGCGCAAUGGGCGAAAGCCUGACGCAGCGACGCCGCGUGGGGGAUGACGGCCUUCGGGUUGUAAACCUCUUUUACCACCAACGCAGGCUCGGGGUUCUCUCCGGGUUGACGGUAGGUGGGGAAUAAGGACCGGCUAACUACGUGCCAGCAGCCGCGGUAAUACGUAGGGUCCGAGCGUUGUCCGGAAUUAUUGGGCGUAAAGAGCUCGUAGGCGGCGUGUCGCGUCUGCUGUGAAAGACCGGGGCUUAACUCCGGUUUGGCAGUGGAUACGGGCAUGCUUGA